AUUGAACGCUGGCGGCAUGCCUUACACAUGCAAGUCGAACGGCAGCACGGGAGCAAUCCUGGUGGCGAGUGGCGAACGGGUGAGUAAUACAUCGGAACGUGCCCAGUAGUGGGGAUAACCGGCGAAGACCGGACUAAUACCGCAUACGACCUACGGGUGAAAGCAGGGGAGUCGCAAGACCUUGCGCUAUUGGAGCGGCCGAUGUCAGAUUAGCUUGUUGGNGGGGUAAAAGGACCUACCAAGGCAACGAUCUGUAGCUGUCUGAGAGGACGACCAGCCACACUGGGACUGAGACACGGCCCAGACUCCUACGGGAGGCAGCAGUGGGGAAUUUGGACAAUGGGCGCAAGCCUGAUCCAGCCAUGCCGCGUGC
Molecule: ribosomal RNA, 373 nt
Filed under: uncultured bacterium
Lineage: Bacteria
Description: bacterial SSU rRNA
Rfam family: Bacterial small subunit ribosomal RNA
Source: RNAcentral